This 213-nucleotide unclassified non-coding RNA is filed under the name Hevea brasiliensis (rubber tree). Lineage: Eukaryota; Viridiplantae; Streptophyta; Magnoliopsida; Malpighiales; Euphorbiaceae. The record is from RNAcentral.
GGUUGUUGUUUCUCGCUUUUUUUUUAAUAUAUAAAUUGAGGAUAACCCAAGUUUGUUUGCAGAAUCUGUAGGCUUGGUUGUGCUCUGUUUUUUAUUGGCAAGUUAAUUAUUUGCACGGAUAAGAUUUUUCUCUGAAAAAUCAAAAGCUCUCCUCUGUUUUUUUAAUUUUUUGAAGGCGACACAAGCUUUACCAGAGGCCUCAAAUUUAAUGGU